UAAUUAUAACCAUAAUGAAGAGUUUCUUACAAUUAUUCGUUUUAUAUUUUUAUGGACUGGACUAAUAUCAUUUGGCAAAAAUUGCACGUGAUUCGACACCAAUCUGAGCGAAAUCCAUUCAACUGGUUUAGAAUAAAGGAAUGCAAUCAUUUGCAUGAAGUUAGGAUUGACACUGAGAUUAUACAGCAUGUUAGAUUUCUUCCAUCAGGCAGUCAGCUGUUAAUUACCAGCCGUGCUACAAUGCAUUACCAGUCAGCUGCUCUUGGCAUUGCAUUCAGGGGAGAAAAGAAAAGGAAUCACUUCCAGGGCACUGUGAGCCCAUUUCCUCAGCUCCCCAACCCCCAACCCCCCUCCACAACCAGCGACCCUCCUGCUGAUGGAUGUGUGAGUGGACAGAGAGAGAGAGAGAGAGAGAGAGGGAGAGAGAGAGAGAGUGGUGGGGGGCGUACGUGCUAAACAGUACACUAGCAUACUACAGUAUGUAAAUAGUAUGUCAGAAUAGUAGGCUAGGUGAAGCCAGUAGGCUAGCACUGGUCACACUGAAUAGUCUAAUGGUGGUGGAGUAACAGAAGAGGGUUGUGGGUGCAGUCACAGAGGCAGUGGAGGAACUGGAAUACAGUUCAUUCCGACAGUUUGGGGGGUAACGGAUACUUGAUGACGCUGUUUAGUGCGUGAGUGUGCGGGGUUGGACUCAGAGGCAGGGGGAAGGUGAGGCAGAUCAGCUCUUCCAUAAGCUCCAUGUUAAGCAUGAAAACACGUUUUGUGUUCAGAGAAACAGGCUGACUAACUCCAGGAAGCCAUACUGCAGCCUGUGAGAACAUUAACAUUAAAAUAAAAAAAAACACCUUGAUUUAUUUGUUUUGAAGAACAGAGCUGAGAGUGAUGAAGGGAAAAAAAACGAUCAAGACUCUUUUUCCUCAUUUGGACGGAUGAUGAGCUUUGAGACGGAAGUGUCGCGCGCUUUAUUUGGCGGAGGGAAUAAAUAAAUAGAGAGAGAGAGAGAGAGAGAGAGAGACUCUCUAAACCCGCGCGGCUGCCUGGAUUCUGGCCAGAACUUUAAUAUUCGCUUUCUGCUUUUAUUUGUUCGCUUUAAUUUGGUGAUUAAUAACAUUGAGCACUAGUUCUACUACCUAACUGAGGUGUAAGUGCAUGAAGCGACCUCAGAUUCCACUGCUGCUGGGGUUUAGUCAAAAUACUAGCAAUAUUUCUUAAUUAGAAAAAAAUAGUUUUGUAAUUUGGAAAUUGCACAUCCUGCUAAUUGGUCUCAGUAAUUUGGUGAUUAAUGAAAAUAAUCUAAAGGUGAAAAUUAAAAGAAUGGAAUAUGCUUAACAUUUUAUACUGUUUUUUUAUAUAAAUAAAUUGUAUUAGUAGUCAGCUUUUUUUUUUUUUUUUUUUUUAAGAUAUGUAAGGCUACCUUAAUUAGAUCAAGCAAUAAGAUGCAAAAACAUCAGCUUCAGGAGCAAUAGGAACAGAGAACAAAAAUAUAAAGUGGUCCCAUAUGUCUGAUUUCAAAAAAAGUUCUUCCCUAAAAAUUCUUCCCAAGUUGAUGAAAAAAAGUAACCAUAAUUCUCUUUAUUCUUUUUUCUUCCAGGUCUUCAUUGUCUGUUAUAAAUUGUAAGAAAUUAGGUGAAGAUUAAUUAUAUAGCAUCAAAAAAUGGCAUCAUCAUAAAUUGUGAAGAUUGUGAAUUGUAAAGAUUAAUUAUAUAUCAUCAAAAUAGAACUUAAAAUAUAAAUCUUAAAUGUGAAAAAAUGUGUUUUCCUCAUUAAUGUGUGUUAUUUAACUUGCUUUGGUUGUGCACUUUUAAUGCUUUGGCAGAUCCCUUGGUAGAUGGUUUGCACAAGUUCUAAUGAACACACGAUGUUAUGUUUCUGAUAAGGUGCAAAACACGUUCCCAUUAAAUGCAUCAUGCUGUGCA
Pangasianodon hypophthalmus (striped catfish) is the source of this 1916-nucleotide long non-coding RNA. RefSeq lists it as uncharacterized. The record is from RefSeq and is a predicted model, not a curated record. The transcript is spliced from 3 exons. Lineage: Eukaryota; Metazoa; Chordata; Actinopteri; Siluriformes; Pangasiidae.